RNAcentral lists this ribosomal RNA (301 nucleotides) under uncultured bacterium. RNAcentral's name for it is "partial 16S ribosomal RNA". It matches the Rfam family "Bacterial small subunit ribosomal RNA", at positions 509 to 807 of the family's 1533-position model. The record is from RNAcentral.
CAGUCGCCGCGGUAAUACGUAGGGUGCAAGCGUUAAUCGGAAUUACUGGGCGUAAAGCGUGCGCAGGCGGUUCGUUAAGACAGAUGUGAAAUCCCCGGGCUUAACCUGGGAACUGCAUUUGUGACUGGCGGGCUAGAGUAUGGCAGAGGGGGGUAGAAUUCCACGUGUAGCAGUGAAAUGCGUAGAGAUGUGGAGGAAUACCGAUGGCGAGGGCAGCCCCCUGGGCCAAUACUGACGCUCAUGCACGAAAGCGUGGGGAGCAAACAGGAUUAGAUACCCCGGUAGUCCCUGUCUCUUAUAC